AUUGAACGCUGGCGGCAUGCCUUACACAUGCAAGUCGAACGGUAAAGGGCCGUUUGCUGCUGGCGUGAGCGGCGCGGGGGUGUAUAACGCCUAGAAAUCCCCGAGGUAGGGGGGGAUAACGUCCGAAGCCGGGCGCUAAUACCACACGCGCUACGAGGGAGAACGUGGGGGCUCAUGGGACUUCACGCUAGCAGAUGAGCCUAGGUCGGAUUAGCUAGUUGGUGGGGUAAAGGCAUACCAAGGCGACGAUCUGUAGCUGGUCUGAGAGGAUGAUCAGUCACACUGGGACUGAGACACGGCCCAGACUCCUACGGGAGGCAGCAGUGGGGAAUAUUGGACAAUGGGCGAAAGCCUGAUCCAGCCAUGCCGCGUGUAUGAAGAAGGUCUUCGGAUUGUAAAGUGCUUUAAGAUGGGAGGAAGGGCAGUAAGUUAAUACCGGGCUGUUAUGACGUUACCAUAAGAAUAAGCACCGGCUAGCUACGUG
This 484-nucleotide ribosomal RNA is filed under the name uncultured bacterium. Its description in RNAcentral is "partial 16S ribosomal RNA". It matches the Rfam family "Bacterial small subunit ribosomal RNA", at positions 30 to 507 of the family's 1533-position model. The record is from RNAcentral.